UACGGAGGGGGCGAGCGUUAUUCGGAAUUAUUGGGCGUAAAGGGCGCGUAGGCGGCUCUUUAAGUCAAAGGUGAAAUCCCUCGGCUCAACUGAGGAACUGCCUUUGAAACUGAGGAGCUUGAGUCCGGGAGGGGGUAGCGGAAUUCCCAGUGUAGCGGUGAAAUGCGUAGAUAUUGGGAGGAACACCAUUGGCGAAGGCGGCUACCUGGACCGGAACUGACGCUGAUGCGCGAAAGCGUGGGUAGCAAACAGG
This 253-nucleotide ribosomal RNA is filed under the name uncultured prokaryote. RNAcentral describes it as "partial 16S ribosomal RNA". It matches the Rfam family "Bacterial small subunit ribosomal RNA", at positions 524 to 776 of the family's 1533-position model. The record is from RNAcentral.